AUGUACCUCGCGUACACCGCGGUUCCUGUGCGCUGUCCACGCACACCUAACGACUGCUCGCCAGGUUUUGGUUAGCC
RNAcentral lists this small RNA (77 nucleotides) under Xanthomonas vasicola. RNAcentral's name for it is "sX9 sRNA". It matches the Rfam family "Xanthomonas sRNA sX9". RNAcentral also lists the same sequence under 6 other names. The record is from RNAcentral. Lineage: Bacteria; Pseudomonadati; Pseudomonadota; Gammaproteobacteria; Lysobacterales; Lysobacteraceae.